UAUUCUGCCUUUGAUGGAGUGUAUGCAAGGCAGGCAAAGGCUACGUUUUGAAUCCGAUGAGGGAAGAAUUUACGAAGCGAAGAAUUAACACGCACAAAGCGACGCAACCGUUCUACCACCCAACAACUCCUGGUGAAGAACGUUCAAUUUUUUACAAGUGAGGCAAAAUGACCGGAUCCGUUUCUCACCUCUCCUUUGGCUGGCGAAGUUCACAGGAGACAAAAGGCCCUGAGCCUCAGUGCAUGUUGGUGCAGUAGUCAAAAACGACAGGCUGCAUAAAAAUGACAUAUGUGGCUUCCCUCCCACCUCCCAUCCUCCACCUCAAAGUCUGGCUUCAAGAUUCCCAGCAAAAUAUUCCUUCUCACACAACCUGUGUAUGGAGCCCAAGCAGCUGCUGCCCGUCCUUCCGCCUUCUUAUACUGUAGGGAAGAGAAACCCUCCCCAGAGGAGACAUUUUCCCCCCUACUCGCAGUUGCAUCAUACUGCUGAACUUGGGUGUUAAAAAAUGGCUUGCUUCCUUUAUUACUGGGGAGGGGGGGUGUCUUGUGUCGGUAAUGGCUGCUCUGCUUGCUUUUAAACAGGACAAAUGGAGUCACAAGUGCUUGCAAAAAUAGCCAGAUCCACAUAGGAGGCUGCAUAUAGUUUUAUGGUUUCAGAAAACUUGAUUGGCCCUUCCGGACAGAGCGUCUCCAAUUUUAAAUCCUUUGUUCGUCUGACACGCAUUAGAAAGUCACUAUUCCAAGUAGCUCUGUGCCCCUCUGCUGCCCUUCAUCAUCAUCAUCAGUUUACUUCUACUUUAUUACACUUUUCGGUAAUUGCUCAGGGAAGAAUUAUUACGAGGGAGCGGGAGAAAAAUCAAGUGACUAUUAGCAGCGGUAGCUUUAUUGCAACAGGCACAGAACUCAUUCAUUUCAUGUUUUGCAGAAUAUAAAAGCACUGAAACAUUUUAAUUUUAAAUUCUUAUCAUUGAAUUUACUGCUUUUCUCUCACAAUGAUUUGUGUUGCUUUUUAAUUUUUACAGUCUCUACAGAAGCCAGAUGCUACCGCCUAGGGCCAAAAUAAUAAAAACCCACUGCAGUCAUGAGUUACAGAACAAAAAAGAAACACGCAGUUGACAGAAGUUAAUAUCUCAAUUUAACAGUGCUGCUUUGCUAAUGAUCCUUUGAUAUGUGUUUAUUUAGAAAGGUCUGAUCUUGACCUUGAAGGCAAACUAAACCACAAAGUCUUUAUGAGAAAAGAAAAAGACUUUAUUUAUAGAAUGGCUUUGUGUCAAUCACUGAAGCAGCUGGAUUUGAGGUGAAAAAACAUCACUAAGGAGGGUGCGGGUUCAUACACAAAGUGUUAAUUUACGGAUAUGAUUCUUGGAGAAAAAUUAAAUUCUAAAUAAGGAUA
Molecule: long non-coding RNA, 1392 nt
Organism: Trachemys scripta elegans
Lineage: Eukaryota; Metazoa; Chordata; Testudines; Emydidae
Exons: 3
Source: RefSeq, a predicted model, not a curated record